Molecule: ribosomal RNA, 239 nt
Filed under: Sebacinales sp.
Lineage: Eukaryota; Fungi; Basidiomycota; Agaricomycetes; Sebacinales
Description: partial large subunit ribosomal RNA
Source: RNAcentral
UUGAAGUCAGUCGUAUCUGCCAGGACUCAGCCUUGCUUCUGCUUGGUGCACUUUCUGGUCAGAUGGGCCAACAUCGAUUUUGACCGUUGGAAAAAGGCUUGGGGAAUGUGGCUGUCUUCGGGCAGUGUUAUAGCCUCUUGUCGUAUGUCUCGGUCGGGACUGAGGACUGCAGCGCGCCUUACGGCCGGGGUUCGCGCCCUCGGUACGCGCUUAGGAUGCUGGCAUAAUGGCUUUAAGCG